Molecule: small nucleolar RNA, 76 nt
Filed under: Sphenodon punctatus (tuatara)
Lineage: Eukaryota; Metazoa; Chordata; Lepidosauria; Sphenodontia; Sphenodontidae
Description: Small nucleolar RNA R38 (ENSSPUG00000007771.1)
Source: RNAcentral
AAAAGCCGAUGAUGUGAUGUUAUCCCUGUCUGAAAGCUCAGCUGUGAGGGAAAAAUCAGUACCCACUGAGGCUUCU